UACGGGGGGGGCAAGCGUUGUUCGGAAUUACUGGGCGUAAAGCGCGCGUAGGCGGUUUGUUAAGUCAGCUGUGAAAGCCCCGGGCUCAACCUGGGAACUGCAGUUGAUACUGGCCGACUGGAGUGCGAGAGAGGGAGGUAGAAUUCCAUGUGUAGCGGUGAAAUGCGUAGAUAUAUGGAGGAAUACCGGUGGCGAAGGCGGCCUCCUGGCUCGACACUGACGCUGAGGUGCGAAAGCGUGGGGAUCAAACAGG
Molecule: ribosomal RNA, 253 nt
Filed under: uncultured bacterium
Lineage: Bacteria
Description: partial 16S ribosomal RNA
Rfam family: Bacterial small subunit ribosomal RNA
Source: RNAcentral